Long non-coding RNA from Brassica oleracea var. oleracea, 385 nucleotides. RefSeq lists it as uncharacterized. Lineage: Eukaryota; Viridiplantae; Streptophyta; Magnoliopsida; Brassicales; Brassicaceae. The record is from RefSeq and is a predicted model, not a curated record. The transcript is spliced from 3 exons.
UCUUUUGCUAACCUCAACCCUUUCAAAUAUGUUUCUUCAGGACUGAAGACUCUAUCUUCGAAAAUUAGAGAGUUUCGAGCUAUCCAAAUCGCCCAGCAUAUCCAAGGGAGUAGGUUUAGGGCGUAGCCCGUCGGAGGAGGGCAUGUGGCUGAUCUGAACUUAACAAUGGCGUCUUUGAAGGAGGCAUCUGCAGCUAUGUGAACUGCGUUUCGUAGUGGUUUGUUCCAAGAGGGAGGGCAUUUUGCACUAUCGACCACAGGAAGGCCUUCAUUUUAGGAGAUGGAGGCCGUGUAGUACCCUGAUUUUGUGGAGUAUACUCCCGAGGAGGUAGCAUGCCAAAUAUAAGAGUCCUCUGCCCCCUUCAGGCUUGGUUGCAGGCUAAGAA